RNAcentral lists this long non-coding RNA (4560 nucleotides) under Sus scrofa (pig). RNAcentral describes it as "lncRNA (ENSSSCG00005018247.1)". The record is from RNAcentral. Lineage: Eukaryota; Metazoa; Chordata; Mammalia; Artiodactyla; Suidae.
CAUAGAGAGGAACACUUUUUUAAGUGUCUUCUCAUCUGAAAAUUGUAUGCUGCUUGAGGCCGAUAUUGGUGUCUUUUGUCUUUGUUUUUUCUUUUUUUAGCACGGCACCCGUGGCUUAUGGAGAUUCACAGGCUAGGGGCCGAAUCAGAGCUGUAGCUGCUGGCCUACGCCGCAGCUCACGACAACGCCAGAUCCUUAACCCAUUGAGCAAGGCCAGGGAUCGAACCCACAAUCUCAUGGUUCCUAGUCGGAUUCAUUAACCACUGAGCUAUGACGGGAACUCCCUGGAAGGACUCUUAACACCAGAUUGGGCAGCAGCCCCUGCCUUAGACUUUCUUGCAAUCAUCUAGAAACUGAAUUUGUGCUGCAUUUUUCUCAAGUGAAAUGGUUCAUAAUUAAAGAGGUUGAAGUGGAAAGAAGUGUACAUAGAAUUUUCACUGGAGAGCAAAUUUUACACCUGAUGCCUGGUUAUUAAUUAAAUUAUAUACCUGGCAGUACAAUUUCGGCUUCUCUUAAAAGUUAAAUUCUCACUGUCUAUGAAAGACACUGGGAAGCUUUGAUGGGAUUUUAAAGGUGCCCGAUUAUUAGAGUCAUGAAAAUGAGCACAGACCCUGAAACAAGUCUGUAUUGUCUGAAGGCAGUGGUUCUCAAGCUGCAGUGGGCAAUAGAAUCACUUGGAGGGCUUCUUAUAUUCCUGGGCCCUGCCCCCAAUUUCUGAUUCACUAAGUCUAGGGUGGAGCUUGAGAAUUUGCAUUUCUAACGAAUUCCCAGGAGAUGCUAUUGCUCCAGAAACUAUGCUUUGAGGACCACUGAAUUAAAGGCAGCCCUGCAAUUUACUUAAUUUAAUAUCAGUAUUCCAUUUCACUCAGUGUUUUUAUUUCUUCUUCAGCCUCCUUCUCAGCCAGUCACUUCUGUGGCCCCUUAGAUAGAACAUCAAUGUUUAACGAUUGGCUUUAGGGUUGAGGAAGAGCCCUAGUUUGCACCGGUCCCAGUUUCUGUGGUGCAAAUAACUACCAUCGUGGCCCGUUUAAAGCUUCCAAUACCACAACAAUCACCUUGUGUAAAAUUUCUGAAAAUUUAAUGAUCCUCUUCAGCACAGCCCUGGAUCAUAAGGAAAUGUCAAAGGUCAUGCUGAAAUUUAACCUUAUGUAAAGGGGACCCUUGGGUGCUGUUGGUGGGACUGUAAAUUGGUACAGCCAUUACGGAGAACAGGCCAUACAGAGGUGCCUCAAAAAUUAAAAUAGAACUAUCUUAAGACUCAGCAAUCCCACUUCUGGGUCUCUACCCAAGGGAAAUGAAAUCCGUUUCUCAAAGAAAGAGCUACAUUCUUGUGUUCAGUGUGGCAUUUUUCACAAUUGCCGAGACAGGGAAACAACCUAAGGGUCUAUCGGUGGAUGAAUGGAUAAAGGAACUGUGGAACAUUUAUACAAUGGAAUAUCAUUCGGCCAUAAAAAAGAAGGAACUAAAUCCUGUAAUUUGCAAUAACUUGGAUUAACCUUGAGGGUAAGUGAAAUCAGCAAAAUGGAGAAAGACAAUACUGGGUGGUGUCCUUAUGAAGCGGAAUAAUCACACUCAUAGACGCACAAAGGAGAACUGUGGUUGUCGCGGGUGUGGGGGAAAUGAGGAGAGGUAGGUCUGCAGGUGCAGACUUUUGGUUCUAAGGAAUAAGUUCUGGGGAUCUAAUGUGCAGCACGGCGACCUUCGUUAAUAGCAGUGUAUUGUACACUGGAAGUUGGCUAAGACAGUAGAUCUCAAUUGUUGCUGCCACCAAAAAGGGUUAAAUGUGUGAAAAAAGGAAAAGGAAGGGAGGGAGGAAGGAAGGAAGAAAAUUAACCUUAUGUGAGAUGGACUUUUACCCCUCUUCGAGGGUCAGAUAUGGAGAGGGAUACGAAAUAAAUUCUUGUUUAUGCCUGGGUGGUUCCAUGAAGGGGAUUGCAGUCCAGAGGGUAUGGAUACUGUAGUUCAGUAGUUAAAGACUGAUCGUUGUAUUGGCUCUAAAGCCUUUUGAUUUUGAAUUCGUUGCUGACUUUAACUGAGAUGUUUCAUAUGGAAAAAAAUUUCAGUGUCUUUUAUUGGCUGACAUGUUGGAAGUUGUGGCAGCCCCCCGUCUCAGAUUCUUAGUCAUCAGCCAUUACCUGGAGCUGUGUAAUAGCUGUUUCCUCCUCCACCUGUUCCGCACGUAGACUGGGAAGGACCUUUCCAGUCCAUGCCUGUUCCCAGGCUACCAGCUCUGCAGCCAUCAGGCCUGCCUCAUCCAUCUCCACUCACACUGGCUAACACUGGCUGUCAUGCCCUCUGCACCAUUUGAAGAUGCAAAUCCAGGAGAAUAUGCAUCCUUCUUCAUGGGUGCAAGAUCCACUAGGGAGAAGGGAAACAUUUGAUUCCCUCGAAGGACCUUUACACAUUAAAGAGUGAAAGCGGUCAGGUAGCUCUUUUUUAUUCCUUCUUCUGUGUUCUCAUCUCCUGCCCUCCCUUUACUUGGAGAGGGGGAAAGGAUGAAAGAAGAAUUAUUCUUUCUAGAAACAGAAGCCCAAACCUGGAGAACCCUCCAAUUUCUCUUUCCAAACUACAGACCUGGAAUCUAGAGGAGGCUAUUCCUGAUAAGAGAAGACUUGUUCCUUGGUGGUUUAAUGAUUGUUUAUAUGGUGUGAACACUUUUCUGGUCCGAAUCCUGUGAUUUAUGUCCCGUUAUGUCACACCGGUAUUCCCUUUCCCAUUUUCUCUCAGCAUCUUGAAUCUGCCCUGCCCAGGUUAAUUUAUACAUGCUUAGGUUCUGUUAUUAUGGGAAAACACAAAGACAAAGAAAACCCUUCUCACAAAAUCGUUGGCUUGCCUGAACCCCACUGUGGUUAUUUUAUUUGAGGGUAGUGUCAUGAGGGAGAUAGUCUAAGAGUCUCAGUCAGAAAAGCAUGGAUUUCCAUCUGAUCAUUAUCAGAUUGAGAGCUAAAUACUUUGGCACCUUUCAUGAGGAAAGAGCCCUGGGAAUUUUCUGGAUAAACAUCAUCAGUUUUGACAGCGUGCAGAAUUUAGGCCACCCACGUUGUGUGGGGUCCAAAACUGUUCCGUGAAGUUUACAUGAUGUGUUUCAAGAGUUUGGUUGAACUUGUAAUUUAACCUGGUGGCAGGGGGGAGAGUAAAUAAAUACUGGUGGGAAAAUAUUUGUGCUCAAAAUCAAUAAGGAACGGGCAGUAUGUUGCCUGCACUCUGAGAGCUUGGCUUUGCAGCUGAAGUUAGUACCGGGUGGCUUUCGUCAAGAGCAAGGAAGGGAGAGCAAAGACGUCGACCCUGGGUUGGGCAUGUUGGCUUGCUAAGGAUUGCUGCUGCCGGCUCCUUGUCUUAUGAUGUUCAAGUCAGGUUUAUCCACAGCUGAACACUCAGUGAGGAUUAUUCAGCCUUCACUUUGUGCCAUGUGGUGCAACACAGGAAAUUAGCAGUGUGAUCAAGAGUCUCACUUGUGAGGGGUUCCUGCUGUGGCCCAGUGGGUUAAGGAUCCCAAGUUGCCGCCGCUUCGGUAUAGGUCACAGCUGCAGCUCAAAUUCAGUCCCUGGACUGGGCACGUCCAUAUGCCACAGGUGUGGUCAUAAAAAGGGGGGGGGGGAUGUGACUCUCUUAUGAGAUGGAGAAACUGACUCCUAGAGAAGUCACUUACUCUAUGGUGGUCUCACAACCCAUGUGUGAGGGACCUGGGCCUUGGCUCCAGCUCUUCCUGAGUCCACCUUUUAUCAUUCCUCUUUCUGUGGCUGAUUUCUAGUGUCAUGCUGUUGUGGUCUGAGUCCUUUUGAAUCACAUAUUCUCUGCAUAUGUCAUGGCCUUUGGAAGAGGAUCCCUUGUAAGUUUUUUUUUAAUACCCCUAAAUGUGGAAUCUGUAACAUUUCUUACUUUAAACUCCUCUACUGGGUACAAGUUCUUUGGCUAUUGCCUAGCACAUGCCAUCUCUCUGAUGAGGCCUGAACAUACUUUGAUUUUGAAUGCAUAUUGAUGUAUAUAUUAUGGUGAGUUCAUCUGACUUUAUAACAUGUAGCUUUAACUUCUCUAUUUUUUCCUUCUUUAGUUGAUUCAUCCACCAACUAUCUGCAUACAUAGGGAAAAAAUACUUUCGUCUCUUUUCUUUCAUUUAGGAAAAUUGAAAGACACUAGAUUUUCAAACUCCCACCCAAAUAAAGUAGGCAGGUUCCUACAUUCUGUAAAAAGUACAGCAUCUGGUGAAUGGAGCAUGUUAGAAUUUCCAUUAAGAAUUCUCCCAGGCUCUAGUUUUCUGGAGCCGUGUGGUAUUCUCCCAGUGAACCCGGAAGUAUGUUUUUUUAAGAAUUUCUUGGAGUUCCCAUUGUGCUGCAACAGAAACAAAUCCAACUAGGAGCCAUGAAGUUGCGGGUUUGAUCCCUGGCCUCAGUGGGUCAAGGAUCUGGCAUUGCUGUGAGCUGUGGUGUAGGUCGUAGACGCAGCUUGGAUCUUGUGGCUGUGGUGUAGGCGGGCAGUUGUAGCUCCGAUUUGACCCCUAGCCUGGGAACCUACAUAUGCACUUGCGGCACUAGAAAGCAAAAAAAAAAAAAAAAAAAAAAA